This is a non-coding RNA of Acanthosepion pharaonis, 109 nucleotides long. NCBI's taxonomy places the organism in Eukaryota, Metazoa, Mollusca, Cephalopoda, Sepiida, Sepiidae. The record is from the annotation of a GenBank genome assembly.
UACGGCCACAUCACAUUGAAACACUGGUUCCCUUACGAUCACCGUAGCUAAGCAACGUCGAGCUUGGUCAGAACCUAGAUGGGUGAUUGCGUGGGAAUAUCAAAUGCUA